This 425-nucleotide ribosomal RNA is filed under the name uncultured bacterium. RNAcentral describes it as "partial 16S ribosomal RNA". It matches the Rfam family "Bacterial small subunit ribosomal RNA", at positions 354 to 796 of the family's 1533-position model. The record is from RNAcentral.
GUGAGGAAUAUUGGGCAAUGGGGGAAACCCUGACCCAGCGACGCCGCGUGAGGGAAGAAGGUCUUCGGAUUGUAAACCUCUGUCUUCGGGGACGAUAAUGACGGUACCCGGGGAGGAAGCCACGGCUAACUACGUGCCAGCAGCCGCGGUAAAACGUAGGUGGCAAGCGUUGUCCGGAAUUACUGGGUGUAAAGGGAGCGCAGGUGGGGCUGUAAGUCGAAUGUGAAAUCUAUGGGCUCAACUCAUAAAUUGCGUUCGAUACUAUAGUUCUUGAGUGGAGUAGAGGCAGGCGGAAUUCCCGGUGUAGCGGUGGAAUGCGUAGAUAUCGGGAGGAACACCAGUGGCGAAGGCGGCCUGCUGGGCUUUAACUGACACUGAGGCUCGAAAGCGUGGGUAGCAAACAGGAUUAGAUACCCGUGUAGUCC